RNAcentral lists this unclassified non-coding RNA (327 nucleotides) under plant metagenome. RNAcentral's name for it is "partial contains 5.8S ribosomal RNA, internal transcribed spacer 2, and large subunit ribosomal RNA". The stretch from base 1 to 105 matches the Rfam family "5.8S ribosomal RNA", at positions 50 to 154 of the family's 154-position model. The record is from RNAcentral.
GAAAUGCGAUACGUAGUGUGAAUUGCAGAAUUCAGUGAAUCAUCGAAUCUUUGAACGCACAUUGCGCCCUUUGGUAUUCCAAAGGACAUGCCUGUUCGAGCGUCAUUUGUACCCUCAAGCUUUGCUUGGUGUUGGGCGUCUUUUUGUCUCUCCCCUUGUUGGGGGAGACUCGCCUUAAAACGAUUGGCAGCCGACCUACUGGUUUUCGGAGCGCAGCACAAAUUUGCGCCUUCCAAUCCACGGGGCGGCAUCCAGCAAGCCUUUGUUUUCUAUAACAAAUCCACAUUUUGACCUCGGAUCAGGUAGGGAUACCCGCUGAACUUAAGC